Non-coding RNA from Zootoca vivipara (common lizard), 366 nucleotides. NCBI's taxonomy places the organism in Eukaryota, Metazoa, Chordata, Lepidosauria, Squamata, Lacertidae. The record is from the annotation of a RefSeq genome assembly.
AUGUCACAGAUUUGUUUCAUGUUGCUCAUCUUGAGUUUCUUUGAGGGAUCCAGGGGGAUCACUCAGACACCAGCUUCUAUACAGGCAAGUCCUGGGGACACUGUCAAGAUGCAGUGCAUAGCUUCCUCUUCUAUGAGUGAUGAUAUGUCCUUAUAUCAGUUUAAACCAGGACAGAAGCCCAAGCUUCUUAUUCAUGAUGCUACGAGCCGUUUUGAAGGCACCCCAGAUCGCUUCAGUGGUACCUACAGUAACACUGACUUCUCAUUCACCAUCAGCGACAUCAGUGUCGAGGAUGAAGGAAGCUACUACUGUGCCCAACAGUACAGCACUCAGGGGCGCAGAGAAGAUGCCACGCCAUCGGAGUGA